AGAAUCAACGCUGGCGGCGUGCCUAACACAUGCAAGUCGCACGAGAAAGGGGCUUCGGCUCUGAGUAAAGUGGCGCACGGGUGAGUAACACGUGAAUUAUCUACCUCCGAGUGGGGAAUAACUGAGAGAAAUCUUAGCUAAUACCGCAUAACACUUACGAGUCAAAGCAGCAAUGCGCUUGGAGAGGAGUUCGCGGCCGAUUAGUUAGUUGGCGGGGUAAUGGCCCACCAAGACGAUGAUCGGUAUCCGGCCUGAGAGGGCGCACGGACACACUGGAACUGAAACACGGUCCAGACUCCUACGGGAGGCAGCAGUGGGGAAUUUUGCGCAAUGGGGGAAACCCUGACGCAGCAACGCCGCGUGGAGGAUGAAAUCCCUUGGGAUGUAAACUCCUUUCGAUAGGGAAGAUUAUGACGGUACCUAUAGAAGAAGCCCCGGCUAACUUCGUGCCAGCAGCCGC
RNAcentral lists this ribosomal RNA (460 nucleotides) under uncultured bacterium. Its description in RNAcentral is "SSU rRNA". It matches the Rfam family "Bacterial small subunit ribosomal RNA", at positions 26 to 518 of the family's 1533-position model. The record is from RNAcentral.